GACGAACGCUGGCGGCGUGCUUAACACAUGCAAGUCGAGCGGUAAGGUCUUUCGGGGUACACGAGCGGCGAACGGGUGAGUAACACGUGGGUGAUCUGCCCUGCACUUCGGGAUAAGCCUGGGAAACUGGGUCUAAUACCGGAUAUGACCUCCUAUCGCAUGGUGGGUGGGGGAAAGAUUUAUCGGUGCAGGAUGGUCCCGCGGCCUAUCACCUUGUUGGUGGGGUAAUGGCCUACCAAGGCGACGACGGGUAGCCGACCUGAGAGGGUGACCGGCCACACUGGGACUGAGACACGGCCCAGACUCCUACGGGAGGCAGCAGUGGGGAAUAUUGCACAAUGGGCGAAAGCCUGAUGCAGCGACGCCGCGUGAGGGAUGACGGCCUUCGGGUUGUAAACCUCUUUCAGCAGGGACGAAGCGCAAGUGACGGUACCUGCAGAAGAAGCACCGGCUAACUACGUG
Molecule: ribosomal RNA, 462 nt
Filed under: uncultured bacterium
Lineage: Bacteria
Description: partial 16S ribosomal RNA
Rfam family: Bacterial small subunit ribosomal RNA
Source: RNAcentral